This 88-nucleotide transfer RNA is filed under the name Chloroflexota bacterium. RNAcentral describes it as "Chloroflexi bacterium (freshwater metagenome) tRNA-Tyr". It matches the Rfam family "tRNA". Rfam says of the family: Transfer RNA (tRNA) molecules are approximately 80 nucleotides in length. Their secondary structure includes four short double-helical elements and three loops (D, anti-codon, and T loops). Further hydrogen bonds mediate the characteristic L-shaped molecular structure. tRNAs have two regions of fundamental functional importance: the anti-codon, which is responsible for specific mRNA codon recognition, and the 3' end, to which the tRNAs corresponding amino acid is attached (by aminoacyl-tRNA synthetases). tRNAs cope with the degeneracy of the genetic code in two manners: having more than one tRNA (with a specific anti-codon) for a particular amino acid; and 'wobble' base-pairing, i.e. permitting non-standard base-pairing at the 3rd anti-codon position. Lineage: Bacteria; Bacillati; Chloroflexota. The record is from RNAcentral.
GGUGGGGUGGCCGAGUGGUUAAUGGCACCGGUCUGUAAAAUCGGCUCCCGUAAGGGAUUCGCAGGUUCGAAUCCUGCCCCCACCACCA